Long non-coding RNA from Brassica napus (rape), 1843 nucleotides. RefSeq lists it as uncharacterized. The transcript is spliced from 2 exons. The record is from RefSeq and is a predicted model, not a curated record. NCBI's taxonomy places the organism in Eukaryota, Viridiplantae, Streptophyta, Magnoliopsida, Brassicales, Brassicaceae.
UAAUUUUAUUAAAAAUUGUGUGACCAAUAAUAUUUUAUAAUUCUUUUAAUAUUAGUCGAAUUAGUUUAAUUUAGAUUAUAUUUCUAAUGAUAUUUUAGAUAAAAAUGUAUGUAUUAAUUUUUGUGUUUGAAUCAAAACAUCAUUUAAAAUAGAAAGAUACUAAUCAUCAUGUGACAAAAACAAAUUAUAUUAGUGAAAAAAAAAACUAAAUUUAUCAGCAUUUUGUUUUUUUCCGGUUGCUGUGGUCUCUGAUUGUUUAAAAAAAAACGCAUGUAAAUGUAGGGACCACGUGAGGAGUUCUAAAGUUAUUUCCGCGGCUAGAUAUUUUAGGAGGAAUAAAGGCAACGAACACUUGUUUAGACCUAGUGGUCUUGGUGGAUAAGAAUAAGACACGUGUAUGGUGGUAAUCUGACACAACCUUUCACCAUUGAUGGUUGCUAUCAGAGCCAAAAUAUCUGAUUGUUUCCAUCUCUUUACUCGCCGUGCGUCUGGUUGAUAAAACAAUACUUGCUCUAUCUCCACUGACAUUCCUUAAACCACCAGUUUAGUUUUGAUUUUUUUUUGUAACAAAAUUAUCACAUAAUAAAGUGCUAUGCCUUUGGUUGGACGAUAACGCAGCGAGUGAAGUGUGGUGGAUGGAGUGAGUAAUGACUUUUGGUUAAGGAAUAAAAAUCUAACGAUAUUUGGACCUAACUUACACGAACAGACGAAAUCGUUUGGGGACUGCGUCUCUGUUCUCUGUUCUCUGGUGGCUUUCAGACGAAAUCGGUUCCUUUUGGACAGUUUUGCGAGCGAUAGAGUAGAUCUCGGAUGGGGUGGGAAUGGGUCUGUCGAUGGUUUCAGUUCAGGGUCGGAGUUUCAGGGAAAGUGGCUAGUUUCUGCUGUAGAUUCCGAUUCAGAUCUGGGCCUCUGGUUCAGUGUGGUGGAGAAAGCUGGCAGUGGUGUGCUGGUGUCUUUCUAUUUCGCCUGAUGGCUGCGGGGUUGGAGUUCUCUAUCUGGUGGUGGAGGCGCGUGAAGCUCUCUCUCGGUGCACUAGGAGAGCUUGUGGCGGCGCGUUAUAAUCUUCUUGUUUGUGGAUGUCACCUGUCUCCUUUGUGGUAUCUCGUAGACUGGAGGAUGCUCUGACUUCUUCGCAUGCUCGACAGUGUGGCGCUCUGAACCUCUCCUGUCCUUUCCGAAUAAGAGCAACAGCUGGUGUUGUGUAAACUUCCAGGAGUUCUUGACGUAGAACGACAUUUUUUUUCAACUGGCGUCUUGGGGAGCAGCAAUUCUUUCUCAAGUGGAGGGUCUCGAUGGAUGAGUUGUCUUCUCGUCUGGCUGUGCGGAGUCGCUAUCCGUGCGGCACAGGCUUAGGCUAGAUCCGAUCAGCUGAGGCAUUCCGCUGCUCCUUUAUCCUCAGCCUCCAGUUUCGAUUGGGAUGGGUCGUCUUCUCCGAAUGCAUCCGUUUGAGUCUUCAUAAAGGGUCGAUGUUGUGUGCACUGAUUUUGCAGGAUAGUUGAGGUGUGCUCUCGAUGAAGCUGUAGGAGCGGAGUGGUUUUGAGGACUGACCAUCUCUGUAGCUCGCGGCGACUUAGAAGCCCACCAAUGCGAUUCCAACUCUUUGGUUCAUAGCUUUUCAAGACAAAGGGCGAGAUCCCAUUCAACCAAAGGAGCUCAACAAGUUGAAAGGGAGACGUAAGAUGCUCAGCAAAUUGGAGUGUGUGGUCACGGCUUCGAAUUCAUGCAACCUUGUGUAGUUGUAUUUAAAUUCGAAUGAUUUUAUUAUGUAGUAGACUCUACUUAGCCCAUGGAGAAUUUUUUUUUUUUUUAUUAUACGAAACAUUACAAGCUGUGACAAACGUCA